GGUACUUGAAAGCCUUUUUCGGAUGAGAGAUAUCGAAGGUAACACACCUCUGCAUAACGCUGUAACAAAGCAACACAAGCGUGUGAUUCGGAUUCUGGUUGAAAAGGACAGUGUUCCAAGUAGCUAUAUUAAUAAAGCUUACCAGACCCCACUCUCAAUCGCCAUUGAUGCAAGGUUAAAUGAUAUUGCAUGUUUCAUCAUCGAUAAAAGUCCAGAGUCUCUUAACACCACUAGAUUGCCAGAUGAACUGACACUUCUCCAUUUUGUUGUCAUGAGGCAAAACUAUGGUGAGCCGGCUCGUGAUUAAUUAAUUUUUCAUUUCUUUAAACGAAUGUCUUCAGUAUAUAUAGUUUGAGAUUUUUCUGAAGGCAUGCAAUUCCUGCAAUUUAUAGAAAUCAUGGUCAAGAUACUGGGAACAAACAAAGACCUCAUCAAACGGUUAGACUGGCACCAGAGGAAUCCUCUUCAUUACGCAGCUGCCUCGGGUAAUGUUAAAAUGGCACAACGCUUGUUAGAAGAAAGCAAACGGCUUGCAUAUAAACGGGACUGCAAUGGUGACACACCUCUUCACUUGGCCGCAGAGAAUGGCAAGCUGAAGGUCUUGAAACUUCUUAUCAACAAAUACCCAGAUGCUAUUGAGAUCCGCGACAACAGUGAUCGCAGCAUCCUCCAUGUUGCUGCUAAACAUGGAAAUUGGAAUAUCGUGUCAUUUAUUCUCAAGUCCCCUGAAAUGGAAAAUUUGAUUAACUUAGUAGAUAGAAAUGGAAAUACGCCGUUGCAUCUGGCUGCAAUGGGCUUGCAUAGCGAUGUGGUUUUCACUCUCUCCAGACAUAAGAGUGUGAACAUCAGGGCAAAAAACCGCAGCGCCAGAAACAAUACUGCUCUAGAAAUUGCUGAGAUAACUAGAGCCAAUGGAAAGGAGAUCCAAAAGGUACAUUCACUUUCUUUCGUACUCUUGUUAAGGCUAACAUGCACAAAUCGACAAGCUUGCAUAAUUUCUUGAAGAAUCCUUGAUAAAACAUUUAUUUUAAAAUUGAAUUAUUUAGCAACCAAACAAAAGCAUGGACAAAUAAUUAAUUAUUUAAUUAGAAUUCCAUAUUUGUGUCGGCCGAGGACAAAGCCUAAAACACAUAAGAGUUAGUACAACUAUUUAGAGAUUUAUAUCAAGGAUUUUGAUGUGUUCUAGAUUGUCCAUCCUGCUAAGGGAUCCCUCUCUUUAGCCUAACCGUCUAUUCUUCUUUGGGCAAGUUUGGGCAUUUUUAUUUUGGUUUUAGAAGAUAUAUCGUAGUUUCUCUAAAUUUUUCAAUUGUGGGGUUACUUGUGUUCCUUUAAACAACUGUAUAUAUAUUUACGUGCUCUGCUCUACUCAGCACUUGACAUUAAAAGCGCUGAAGACGGCCUACGCAAAACGGGCUCUGUCUGCGGAAGAACUCCAACAGAAAAGGCAGGUUUCUAAAGAAGAAGGUGAAAAAGGCAAAGAAAUGGCUCAAACACUCUCGGUGAUGGCAACAUUGAUAGCCACAUUCACAUUCACAGCAGCCUUCACAAUUCCAGGGGGCGUCAAAAGUGAUGGUCCCGACGAGGGCACGGCAACUCUGCUUCAUAGAGCAAGUUUCCAGGCAUUUGUGAUCACAGAUACCAUAGCCAUGACUUCAGCCAUGGCUGCAGCCGCCAUUAUAUUUUGGUCGUUUUGGAGAAGUAAAACUGAAUCACUUAUGGACACACUUCCUUUGGCCAUUGGCUUCACUUGGAUUGCACUCGUAUCAAUGACACUAGCAUUUGUGACGGGUUUGUAUGCCGUGUUGUCUAACAGUUUGGCCAUCACCAUUGCGGUUUGUGUGAUUGGUUGCCUAUUGCCCUUCAUUUUUUAUGUCUCUACUCCUUUCUUUAUGAUUGUAUUUGAUCAAACUGACGUCAAUCCUUUUGCGCUCGUUGUACGCUUCGUAAGAGAUGCUUUGUAAAAGCAUGCGUCUUACAAUAGUUUGUAAACUUGAUGCUCAUUAUUAUCUUGUUAAUCCUCAUAAACUCAUCUACUUCCAUCACUUGUUCACUUUUCGAGAAAGAAAAAUGAGUGUUUGGCAAGCAAGAAAGUUCUAGAAACUAAAGGAAAGUUUGAAGAGAAGUUCUGGAAACAAUGCUCAAAUCUGUUAUAGAUCAGAAACUAAUGAGAAUGACUACAACCUAGCUUAUAUAGUAACUCUAAUGAAUCUAACAAAUUGAUCAUAGAAGGUACUAGACUAUUCUACAAAGUAAAUAGUUUGUCACAAUUGCAGCUGACAUGUAUAACUAAUUUUGACAUGUCUGCAGCUAAGAUUUAUUCAACUAUUUGACUACUGAGUGAGCUUGUGGUGCUCUGCUUUCUCUGUUUCACACAUGCUAACAUCCCUCCUCAAGCUGAACUAUUCAGGACGAAUGUUCAGCUUGGUUCUGAGAUAAUGAAACUGUCCAUAAGUCAAAGCUUUAGUAAGUAUGUUGGCAGUCUGAUCAGCACUAGGAACAAAACAGACUAUGUUUUGAUUAGCUCGAACUUUUUUAUGAAUUAAAUGUAUAUCCAGCUCAAUGUGUUUGGUUUUGGCAUGAUACACUGGAUUUGUAGCCAAAAAAAUUGCUCCUUGAUUAUCACACCACAUAAUUGGUGUAUGAUCGAUUUUGAGCUUUAAUUCAAUGAGCAAAGCUUUAAUCCACAGAACUUCCUAUCAUCUUUGUCACAUUCCCAAUCUGAAUCUGUAAAGUGAUUAACCUGCUAACUGACAUUAGAAGAGAACUAAAGCCCAUAAUGAAUUGUCCCCUUCAAGUACAUAAGUAGUCUUUUGCAUGGCUGUAAAUGCUCAUUUGUUGGGGCUAAAAGAAAUUGAAUUGACUUGUUCACUGAAAUGUUGUUUCAGGUCUUGUCAAUGUUACAUGUUGCAAUGCCCCUAUAGUACUUCUAUACUAAGAGGCAUUUGAGAUAAUAGUUCCUAGGUUUUUAGUAAGAGAAUGAGAUGUAACCAUUGGAGUUGGUUUUGGACUGCAUGUGUUCAUACCAUGUUUGACCAGCAAGUCAGCUAUGUAUUUACUUUGUGACAAGUGAGCUUUCCUUGCUUUUGUUAACUUCUAUGCCAAGGAAAUAAUGAAAGCUCUCCUAAGUUUGUUAACUUCUAUGCCAAGGAAAUAAUGAAAGCUCUCCUAAGUCUUCACGAGCAAAUGUGUCUUGUAUAGCAAAUAUCACUUUUAAUACACUUUGAGGAUUAGAUCCAGUGAUAAUAAAAUGUCAUCAACAUAGGCUCAUACCAGCAAAAUGUGACCAGCAUCCCAUCUAUAAAACAAAGAAGAAUUUAGCUUUGAAGGCUUAAAGUUCCAUCACUACAAAAAAAGUGAUCUAUUGUGAUGGAAAAAAAUUGUCUCUAUAUAUAUAAAAUCUGUCACUAAAUAAAUUUAGUGACAGACUAUAUGUCGUUGUUUAUGUGUCGCACUUGCCACCGUCACUAAAACAUAUAGUGACAAUUAGUAAAUAGUCGCAAGUAUUAUGUGUCACUAAUACACAUCUUAUAGUAACAAAUAUAAGUUUAUGAUAAGUAAGGACAGAAGCAAAAAUCUGUCACUAAAAGCAUAUUUUUAGACAUAUAAAUCUGUCACUAUUUUUAUACUAGGGGCUAUUAAUGUGUCACUAUGUUGAUACUAGUGACUGUUAAUGUGUCGUUAUUUAUAUAGUUGGGGAUAAUUAAAUUAGUCAUUGAUGAUCAUUAUUGACAAUGAAAUGUGCACUAUAGAUUCAAUUAGUGACAAUUUAUUCAGUCAUUACCAAAUUAAAUAUGACACUUGAAUGUAUUGUUAUUAGUAUAAUUAGUGAAAAUUAAUUUAGUCGAAAUGAUCUCAAUAGUGAUGUAAAAUUUUGUCUCAAUGAAUAUAUUAGCGACAUCAAAUCAGUCAUUAUAUAUCUAAAUUAGUAAAUUUUGUAACAAUUUAUUCAGCAACCAAUAAUGUAAAUAGUGAUCUAUCUAAUAAAUUUGUCACUAAUUAAUCUUAGAGACAAUUUUUGUUGCGACAUUUAUAGUUCAUAAAGUAAUUUAGCAUAAAUAAUAUAAUUUGAGGAAACUAAAUCAAGAAAAUUAUUAACAAAUGCAUAGUAUAGUAACAAAAAUAAUCAUUUUACUCUACGAGUAGUUGCAGAUGACUGAUUUAGAUUAUUAUAUCCUGGGUCAUCAGAUGUGGGUUUCCAUCGAGAUGCACCACAUAUUGAACAAAAAGAAUCAUGCUCAUUUUCUUUCCAAUAUAACAUACAGUCAUUAGGACAUGCAUCGAUUUUUUUGUACCCGAAACUUAAGCCACCAAUAAUCUUUUUGGCAUGAUAAAAAGAUUUGGGCAAAGUUUCCCCUUCUGGUAAUGCUUCUUUUAUCAACUCAAGAAGCAUUGUAACUGCUUUAUCACUUAGUCUAUUAAGGCACUUAAUGUGAAAUAAGCGAACAAUGAAAGAAAAUUUAGUGAACCUUUUGCAUCCUGGGUAUAACUCUUGCUCAGCAUCUUCUAACAGUUUAUAGAAUGUCUGAGCAUCAUGAUUAGGAACUUUAUUACACUCACCCAUCAUGUCAUUAGGACCACUGUCAUGGUCACUAACAUCAUAAUUAGGAAUUCUAAAGGCAUCAUGUAGCAUGUCAUGCAUAUUGGUUGUCUCAUUUACUCCUUCAUUAUUCACAGUUGUUUGCCUUUUUUAAGCUCUCCGUGGUAAAUCCACUUGUUACUAAGAUAAUCAGUGCCUACUCCAAAACAUAUCAUAUGUCCAUAAAUAGUAUCUCUAUCAUGACGAUAUCUAUUACUACAUUUCUUACAUGGACAUUUUAAUCUCCCAUCAUUAGUAGUAUUUUCAAAUGCAAAUUUCAAGAAUCCAGAAACUCCCAAUUUGAAUGCUGGACUUGCCCUAGACUCGUGAAUCCAACUCUUAUCCAUUAUAUAACUGAGAAUUCUAGUAGACAAUCUUGAAUUGAAUAUGAAUAAAAUAAUAAAAUUAUAAUUGUUGAAAAUAAAACAAGUAAAAAUGGAUAUUUUUGACAAAAGAGCAAUGUAUCUAAUUACUAAGUAGCAUUCCACAUGUAAUAAUGAAACGAGUAUUACAAACAAAAUUGUUAGAGAACUAAAUAAAAAAGAAAAAUCGUAGUAAAAUUAUACAUACUUUAAACUGUAAAUAAAUAAAUAACAAGCUAGACCAAGAAAAUCAAAGAAUAUCAAUAACGCCAUAAGUGAAAUUCACAUGAUCUAUAGAUGAGCCAUUCAAUUGAGCAACUAAUUAUAAAAGAAUUAAACUAAAAGUUAUGAAGUUUAGAUAUUUGCCAUAAAGCGAAUUAACAUCAAGUCCUUUAACCUUUUUUUUUUUUUUUUGGUAAUUAGCAGAUACAAGUGCUAAAUAAAAUAGUAAACUUCAUAACUUUUUUGUUCAUAUUAUGUUAUUUGUCUAAUGCUUAUCUUGAUUUUUUUUAUCUAACAUUAUUUUCAGGAAUUUUUUAAUAUGCCUAAAUUGUGGUCAAUCAAUUUCUACUAGUAAGUGUAAGUUAUUGGCAGGUUUUCUUAAUUGAUUAGAUAAAUUAUUUGGCUAUUAAUUUUGACAAUUGUAUAAGGAAAAAAGUAAUAGGUGAUAUAUUGGAUUAAAUUUAUAUUGGAAAUAUAACAUCAAAUUAAAUUUAUAUUGGAAAUAUAACAUCAAUUCUAGUAUAGAAAUGUAAUAUUUUAAUGUUGUUCAUUUCAAAAGUCAGGCAUAACUUUUUGAUUCUAUAUGCAAUAUCAAAUAAGAUUUAAUGCCACUAGUUCAUUUCAAAAGUCAGGCAUUACUUAUUAAUACUAUAUGCAGUAUCAAAUAAAGCAACAUAAAAAGAUUCACUUUCAAGCCUUUUGUUCUUUUAGGUAUUGGUUAGUAAAGAAGGAUUCACAAUAAAAACUUAAACUAGGUGAAAAUGAUACAUGCCCUAUAAAUAACAUAUAUAAAGAUUAUUGCAUCUGAACAAAAUUUAUUAACAAAAAUAAAACACUUACAGAUAAGAAGUGCUUUGAAGAAUGCUUAAUCUAGGACCAACUUCUUCUUUAUUAACACCAUUUUAACUGGAUAAACAAUGUAAUUCCCCACCAAUGAAUUAAUAAUAAAGAAAUAAGCAUCAAUUUAAAUUAAUAGAAAUAGGAUCAUCAUAAAGAGUUAAAAUAAAUUAAUUAUAGUAAAGAAUUCAAGCAGUCCCAAAGCCUUCAAAUGCUUUGAUUAUAUAUAUAAAACAGUGAAAUUCUUUUGUUCAAGUAAAUGUAUAUUAAAGGAAAUUCAAGUAAUAUUUCUUCAAAUAUGCAAACAUGAUCUCUAGAUUAGAUGUCAAUUUCAGAUUUUUAUAGGAAAAAAUUCUAGUAAGUAAUUAAUGGACUUCAAUAAUAUAGCAAAAGGAACCACUGAAGGCUAGAAAAAUAAAUAAAUUAGCAUUUUGACCCCCUUUAAAAAAUACUUUUUGAUUCUCGUUUACACCUCCAAAUUAUUGUCCUAUUAGGCUUUUAAAAAAAUUAUGGAUUAGUUGUCCACCAAGUAAGAAAAAAAUUAAAUUUGUUUUGCUAGACAAGAAUAUGUCCAAUCACCACUCUAACAAGCCAAAUCAACCUUUACACACCUCCCAACUGAUUUAUUUAUAUCAUUAAAUCACAUGAGAAAACAUAGAAGAGUUUGGGACAAUUAGACAAUGGCACACUACAUCUCUUCAAAAGUUCUCCAACCACACUUCUAGAAAUAAUGAUGCAAUUAAGAUAAGAACACCAUAUACUGCAAUAUCCUUUAUAUUACUUGUAGUGAGUACACGAGCCUAUUUCUUCUAAUCAAAGCUUUCUAUUCCCUUUUUGUAUGAACACUAACUUCUUGACCAUAAAACUUUAUUAUUGGUUUUUAGGUUUUUACGUUUGAAAAGUUUAUUGGAAUUCAAUUUUGAUUGUGUAUUGGACUUGUGUAAUCUAAUUGUCAAAUCAUCUUUUUGAUGGUGUCUACUUUGCAUGUUCUCAAAGUAGAAAAGACACAUGGUAGAGAAAUUAAUCCUUGGUCAUUACAUGCAUAUAGUUCCAGAGAAGAAAAAUGAAAAUCACAUAAAAUUCAAACUGAAACUAUAAAAUAUUGAGUAAAAUCACAUUAAUCCCAAAAUGGAACUAAAUAAUAUAUAAGUUAUCUUUUGCAAGAUGUAACAUGCUGAACCAAAGACCAACUAUUUGGGAUAAUUUCAUCUAAUUUCAAUUUUUAAACUAGAACAUCAAAAUACUCCAAUUAUAAAUAAUACCAAACAAUCAUGCUAUAUGAAACCAAGAAAAAUCUGCAUUAACGGUUAACUAGGGACAAAUAAAGGAUAUGUCUACUCAACACUAUUAUUAUGGUCCAAGAACACUAAGGUUAUACUCUACAAUACCACUGAAGAUAACCCAACAUAAAUCAAACAUUAUUUUAAACAAUCCCCAUAUUUUCAAUCCUUCUCUUUCCUUUCCCCUCCCAUUGGAGAAAGAAGAAGAAGAGAAAGGGAAGAAUAAAAGAAUAAUAAUCAUAUGUAGGCACAAUUAAUUCACUAAAAUUUGUUUUGUUUUACUAUUAUAUGAGAACUCACAACAAAAAUAAGUACUCUUAAGAUAGAAAGAAUUUUGGAUAGCUUGUAAGAAUUUCCAAAAAAUAUAAAUUCAGCAUUAAAAAGAAAUAUAAAGUACAAAUUUAAAUAAAUUUAGUGUUUGAGACUGUUGCAACUUACCGAUUGUAAAAUAUAAAAACAAGAUCUUGCUGUCAAUUGCAGAAUAUCUAUUAAAAUCAACACCCAACAACAAAAUUUUAGCAAGUAGAAUAACAAACUUAGUGGAUGAUUAAAAAGAACAAAAAAUAAAGGCAAUAAACCAUGACUUGAUUACCUUGCUGCUCUUAAAACUAAGAGCUGAGCAAAUUGAAGCUUUAGAUUACUGUGGAAUGACAAAAAAAAUUGAUGGGUUUUUUUGUGAAAGGAUGGAGGCAAGAAAGUAGAAUUGCCGUAGGGUUUGUAAUUGACAAAUUAAAAUAAAAGGGUGAAAUUCGAUUGGGAUAAGGAAAGAAAAUAAGAGAAAUCCAUAUUUGAUUAGGUUUCAAAAAAAUUGAUGGUUUUGAAAUUGGAUUAUAAUACGGAGAUAGAAGAAUCAGUGCCCCAAUUAGGGAUGAAGAGUGUUUUGGGGAAAAAAAUACGCAUGAGUUGUGACAUAAUUAAUUUAUAUUAUUGACAGGGACGAUUGUAUUGUGUCUUAAAACAAAUAAAAUUAAGUCUUUUUAAUUUAUUGCGACACAAAUAAUAGAUAUUGUCCCUAAAAGAUUAAGUAUUAUGGCGCCAAACUAAUGCGCGAAAAAUUUUCUUAAAGAUUAGUGACAAAUGCUAACAUUUGUCCCAAUUUACCAUAAAUAUGGACAAAUAUUUUAAUCUGUCACAAAGUUUUUAUCCCUAAAAGUCAUUUUUUUUUUAUAGUGCAUUGAGUUGUCAUUGCACUCUUGAAUUUAUCAAAACAAGCUCUAGGUGCCUAUUUGAGACCAUACAAUGCCUUUUGUAGCUUACAUACAUGAUGAGGUUUAGAAAGGUCAACAAAACCCUCUGGUUGUGACAUGUACACAACUUCAACAAGGAUGCCAUUGAGAAAGAUAUUAUUAACAUCAAAUUUUCUAAUAACUCAUUUGCUCAUCACUGUUGAACUCAGAAUUAUUCUCACUAUAGAAGCCUUAAUAACAUGGCUAAAGGUUUCAGUGUAAUUUACACUAUAAGCUUGAUAAAGACCUUUUGCAACAAAUCUAGUUUUGUACCUUGAAAUUAAGCCAUCUGAGUUUAUUAAUUCUGAAAACCCACCAUCUUGAAUAAUGUUAUUGGCUGCACUAUAAUCUAAGUAUGAUUGUUCUAAAGAGCAUUAAACUCUUCUUGCAUAGCAUUAAACCAUUUUGGAUCUUAUAACACUUGAGUUAUUGAGGUUAGUUCGGUUGGUUAAGCUAAAAGGGCAGUAAGAUAGGUUUUAGGUUUGAAAAUGCCAACCUUAAACUUAGUAAUUAUAAGAUGACCAGGAAACUAAAAAUGAGGUAAAUGAUAAUCAAGAAAUGAAUGUGAAAAUAUACUGAUGAUUAGUGAAUUUGGUGAGUUAUAAUUUGAGUGAGAAAUAGGAGAAUCAGAAUGUGAAGAUGUAUUGGUGAUUAGUGAAUUUGAUGAGUUAUAGUUUGAGUCCAGUAUAAGAGGAUUAUAACGUAGUGGAGAAGAGAAUAUUUAUUAUGAUGAUUAUUGUGAAAGACCUUGGGAAUCAGUUGAUACAUGGGGUGUUUGAAGGACUUGUAUCACAGAAUUUGACACUUUAUUGUCAGAACGUGACAAACAUGAAUCAAAGAUAGAGGAGAAAUCAACACCUGACUUAUAGGGAAAGGAUUUUUCAUCAAAAGUGACAUGAUUAGAAAUGUAAACUCUCCAGAAGAAUGCAAACAUUAAUAACCUUUAUGAUGUGGAUUGUAACCUAUUAAAAAUACAUCUUUAUGUCGUAAAUUCAAGUUUUUGUUUGCUAUAGGGCUUGAGAUAAGGGUAACGGGCACAACGAAAUACCCUAAGAAUAGAGUAGUCUCAUUUUUUUUUUUAAGUUUGAAAUAAAGUGAAAUGUUAUUCAAAACAAGAGUAGGCAAUCUUUAUAUAAGAAAAAUAGUAGUGUGAAAUGCAUUCCACUAGAAGCUAAGAGGCGAAUUGGAUUGAGCUAACAAGGUUAGCCCAAUAUCAAUUAUAUGCGUAUGUUUUCUCUCUAUUUUUCUAUUUUGAUUAUGGAUAUGAGGACAAGGAUGCUUGAAGUGAAUAUCAGAAGUAGUUAAUAAGGAAGAAAAAAAUAUGCAUUCACCUCCCAAUCUGUUUGAACUGCUUUUAACAUUUUAUCAAGAUGCUUUUUACUUAAGGUUUUAGAGGUAGUAAAAACUUGUAAAGAAUCAGAUUAGUUGUCAAUGGAAAAAUCUAUGUGAACCUGUUAUAAUCAUCUAAGAUUGAUAAAUUAUAGUUGUAACCUUGAGUAGAAAUAAUGUGUGAAAGCCCCCAAAGAUUAGCAUAAAAUAAUCGUAAUGGUGUUGUUGUUUUAGUAAUAACAGAAUCAAAAUGUUUAAGAUGAUUCUUGCCAUAUUGACAAGCAUUACAAAAGCUAAGAUCCACAGUUUCAUUAAUACUAGCAAAUACAUUACAACUCGUUAUAACAUUUUUCAGUGUGUGUGGAGCUGGAUGAUCAAAUCUCUGAUGAAGUAGAUUGAUAUAAAAAAGGAAUACAGACAUUGAUAAGACAACUUGAUUACAUGACUUAUUAAUAGCAGUAAAUGCAACUGAACUAAACACAUUAAAAUUAGAAAAAGUAGCAAAGAUGGACACAAGUUUAUUGUAAAGAUCUUGACAAAACUGAAUUAAAGAGCCUUCACUUGACACUUGAGGAGAAGAAGAAAUUUCUUGAAUAUGAUACAAGCCCUCUUUAGCUAACCCUCCAUGCAAAAGGAUUCAUAUUUUCCUGCCAUUAAUAAAAUAGAAAAUUUCAACAAAUUCAACAAUAACAUCAUUAUCAAUUAAGAGUUAUGAGAUACUUAAUAAUUUUUUAGUAAUGUCUAGAUUAUAAAGGACAUGAUUGAGAAGUAAUGAGUCAUGUAUUAAUGUAACAAGCAAUACAGAUCCAACAUGUUUAAUUUGCAAUGCAUUUCCAUUUCUAACAAGCAAUCAUUAUGAUCCAAGAUAAGGUUUUAGAUCAAAGAGGUUACCUGAGUCAUUUGUGAUAUGACCUAAAGCUUUAGCAUCUAUAUACCAAGAUGGAUCCUCUGUUGCUUCUAGAGAAUGAACAGCUUGAGAAGUAAAAGGUGGGUUGAAUUUUGGAGCAUGAUUCAUCCAUUGUAGAAAUUAAAAGCAAUAUGAUGAUUGGGAUAAGAAGUGUAUAAGCCAUAUGAGGUUGAUGAAGAACUAAUACCAAUUAUAACACCCCAAAUUCACUCAAGAAUCGCAAGAGAAAUUUGGAAUGAAACCUUACAGCGUUAAUCUUAUUGCAAUUCUCAAAAGAAAAUUAUUAUUAGCCGUAGUUGAAACAUAGUCUCUAAAAUAAUAAAUAUAACAGUAAUCCCCCAAACUAAAAAUUCAGGUCUAAAUAAUAACCAGAGUCACAACAAUUUAUACAUUAGAAAAUGCCAAAACUUUUCAGCUAAAAAAUUCUCUUCUCUAGACAAAAAAGACCCACAUCUCUAAAAUCAAUCUGCAAAAUAUUAGAGAUAAGGGGUUAGCCGUCAACUUGGUAAGCAAACUCAUGCAUAAGAUUACUAAUAACGAUAAUGUACAUGAUAAUUAUUUUCAAGUACCAUAAGUUAAAAAUCAAUAAUCAUUUUAUAAUCUAAUACACAUGUACAAUAAAACUCAUAAUCAGUUAAAUCAUAACGUAAUAAUCAUUUUCAAUAAAUAAUCAUUAAAGAAAUCAUUUAUCAAUAAAACUUUUUCAUAUGUUCAAUUGCUCAUGCCAUAAAGUGUCACUUGUAUUCCCAAUGACCCGACUAGUAGUUCAAUAAAUCACUUUAACCCCAGUGACCCGAUCAGUAGUUCAGUAAGUCACUUUAACCCCAGUGACCCGGUCAGUAGUUCAAUCAAGGUAUGUUACCUUGUAAUAAUUGUCAAUAAAUGAACACAAUGUAGCUAGCUGUUCCGCAAUAUCAGUAACGGUAAUGAUGGACAAUUAGGCAAAACCUUAAACACAAUUUUCAGUGUUUCAAUAAUUGUUCUUCUAAGAUCAAUUAAUGAAAAGACAAGUAUUUUAAAGUAGUUUUUAAAAUAAAUUUAAGAAAACAUUGUAAGUAAGUUUUUAGUCAAUAUAAAACUUAUUACCACAAACUAUAACGGUAAAAUUACUUUGAUAUAAUAAAAUGUCAAUCCACAAGAAAUCCAUUAUUCUUUUCAUAAAUAUUUGCCUAUAUACUUAUAAUAAACAUUAUGCAUGAAUUCACUUAUCUCGAUUCAAAGCAAACAAUAAUAACCCCAAUCAUACGAGCUCACUCUUAUCAUAUAAUUAUCAAGAUAAGAUUCUUGUUAGUAUUUUACUCAAUUUUGACCUUGAUAAGAAAACCCAAAAACCUUAAACCAUGUACUCUUACUUAAGCACAUUAAUUCACUAAACUAGACUAUACCAUCUUGCAGGAGUUGAUUUCUAACAAGUUAUAACUAUGUCAGAAAAAAUCAUAAAUAUUAUACAAAGCUACUUCAACAUGUUGACAUUCAUUAAAACAAAUUAAUAAGAUUAAUUAGAGUUCAUAAACAUCUAUUAAUUAGAGUUCAUAAACAUCUCUGAAAUUGUUUUUCCGUAAAAACACCAAAAUUUUCUGGUGAUGAUAAAAAAACAGAGGACUGUUGAUUCAAAAUUUAAUAACUUUCGUUAUACAUGUUCAAAAAUAGUUAUUCAAGUUUUGACGAUUAGAGGAAACAAUAAGGAAUUAAAAUUUAUAAGGCAGUUACUAAAGAAAAAGUAACCCAAACUGACUUCAAUGUCAAUCCUAGCAAUUCUAGAAGGCAAUUUUUAGGAUUACGACAGCCUAACUCUAUGAUUUUUAAAUAAAGCUAAAAAUUACGAAUUUAAAUAUACAUAAACUAGACAUAUAUAUGUACAAUAUAAAAUUCCCAAAAUUUUCAAAAGUCGUUUGAGUUAGAAAAUAAAUUAUAGAAGUGGGAACUACUGCUGAAAAUCAGAAUUUUCUAGCACUAAUGUACAUUUGAAAAAUCAAAACAAUUUAUAUACAAUGAGUUUUUGAAUGAUAAACAUACAUAUAGAAAGAUAAAGAUGUGUAGUUUAAUAAACUAUAAAGUUUUAUGCAUGUGACUUAAUGAAGACAGCAGUCUUAUAUUUUAUUACUAUUUUUGCAAUCUAAAAAAAAGUUGUUAUUCAAAUAAUUUUUUUUUCGUUGAACUUGUUAAAAGGUCAAGUCGUCACAUUCUAAAUUGAAGAAGUAGUUAAGGACAUCCCAAGACACUUUUGAGUCAUUAAUAAUUCUAUGAAAUGAGAGUUAUCGUGGCAUUUUAAAGCUUAAAUCAAGACUACUUAGAAAGUAAUUGAUGUGUUUUAGUGCACUUUAAUAAUAGUUUGCAUUAUAUUCAUUUUAGUUUAAGUUUAAUAAAGUUUAUGUGAUUUUUUAAUAAUUGUAUACCUAAAACAUAUGUUUAACUGUAGGUCAAUGUAAACUUGAAAUUUAUGAAAAAAAAAUCUUGUUGCAAUAGACUUAUAAAGAGGACAAACGAAGCAUGGUUGUAGAAGAAUUGGAGCAAGUCGGGAACAGUGAAGAUGUUGUGGCCAUUGUUGUAUCAACCAUUACUGAAGCAAUUCUCGAGCAUUGACAGAGAAAAAUUCGGGCAAGAUAUUUAGAAUAUUGUGAUCUGCAGUUUCCUAAUCUGAAGAUGCGCGCCCUAAAGUUUCCAGUUACCCUAAUUUGCGAUUAUAAAAGGAGGCGUACAUAAAAAGAAAAGAAAGAAGAGGCCGUCAAUCAAGAUAAAAAACAAAAAAGAAGCAGAAUUACCGAUCAAAAUUCAAGGCUGCACCAGUAGAAGAAAUUAGCAAAAUCAAUUAGAAUUCGCUUUUUCUCAUUCUUUUCUUGUUUACUUGUUACUCAUUAAUCAUGCUAGAACUUGGUUGUUUAUUUUUCUUUCACAAAUUAUGAACUAAAUUAAUUUUUGGUUGAAUGUUAAACUAUCUUGAUGGUUGAUUGACUGAAUAUAGGUGUUGCUGCAUGUUUGCUAUAGCAUUUUGCUUUAAUAACAUUUAUUUACAUUCAUUAUUUCGGUUGACCACUCAUUUAAUUAUACAAGUUAAGAAAGAGCCGCAAAAUGGCCUAUCUUAAUGGAACAUAUUAGAGCAAUACUUGGUCCUAAAUUGAGUUUCUUGGAUUGAGUUUAACUUGAGCCAAAAAGGGUCGUGCUUAAUUUAAGAUUAGUGAUGAACUAGAUAUGGAGAUUCACUUUGUAGGGUAAAGAGAACAUAAACGUGUAAUGUUAUAUCUUAUGUUGACAUAACAACUGAUCAUUGUUAGGUUGCAUAAAGAUAUAAGACAUCCAACAUGCUACCGCUAAGGAUAAAGAUGGUUUCUGCUUAGUGUUGUAGCAGAUGUUGCAGCAAUUGAACCUAACAUGAAUAAAACAGUCAACACCAUCAAGAGAGUUUAAUCACUCAACUACUUCAUUCCUAUUGAUUUAACCCUUGUGUUUAACGUGCAAAUUUUAUUUAUUGCAAAAUUUUUAUUAUUGUGAUUUUAUUUUUCUUAAGUAUUUAGUUGUGUUGGUUGCAUUGAUUUAUCUUAGAGCAUAGAUUGCACUAUUGAAAUUAUUGUAGCAAGUCUGAUAACAUCAAUCCCUAUGGAGACGAUCUUGAAUACUCAUCAUUUUAUUACUUUUUGUAUACACUUGCACAUUAACACCAUAGCAAUUAAAGUAAAAUCUAUCAACAGUCAUCAUGGACAAAAAUCCAUGCUUUAAGAUUAAGACUUCACUAGAGAGGAGUUUAACUAUGGUACAACAUGAUUUUAAACCAUCAAUUUUCAAAGAGUUGAGAGGAUUUGUCGAAUGAAUGCACUCAUUAUGAUACUUGAUGAGUCUAAACAAGUUGAUUCUGUCGGUGUAGAUGCUUUUGCUUAUGGAUGUAUAAUAUAAUAAACUCACAGGCUUCUAUGUGCACACAAGAUUUCAUAGUACAAACGUGAAGGUCGGCCUAUUCCUUUGUCUUUUUUUCAUUCUCAUUGGAAGAAUGUAGACCUACUGCAAGUCAAUCAAGAUGAAUAAAAAACAUUGUAUUGCAUGCCAAAGAUAGAGAUUAUUAUAAAGCUUUUCAAUGAUAGUGAUGAUCUAGCUAAGGUUCAAUUAUUAAAAAAGUUAAAGGAGCUUACAAAUCCAGCAUCGACUUUUUUUCUUAAGCCAGAGGUUAAGGGCAAAACACGCGGUUGCUCUUCUUUAAAAGUAGAUACAUCUAAUCGUAGAAAUCCAUCUAAAUUUGAGUAUGUCUUAUUUAAUGAAGAUGGAAAAUCUAUACAUGCUAUAUCUUCUAGUACACUUUCAUUGCAAUUGAAAAAACAACAAAAGGAAAAUGUUUGUCAAUCACAACCAUUGAAACCUAUUCCUUUCAUUGAUUUGUUUCCUUAUGGAAUAAUACCUUUUAUACGAGCUAAGAAAGAUGUUGCUACCAAUGGUAAUUGUGGCUUUCGAGCUAUGGCUGAUUUGAUAGGCAUUGGUGAGGACAAUUAGGCUAGGUAAGAAGAGACUUAGUAGAUGAAUUACAAUGUCAUUAUAAUGAGUACACUCUUUUGUUAGGCUAUGCUGGUAGAUAUCAAGAGCUCUUGCAUUCACUUUCAUUUUUUGGGCCCAACCCGAGAUAUGAUCAUUGGAUGAUCAUGCCUAACACUAGGUAUCUUAUUGGUUCCAAAUAUAAUGUUAUAGCGUUACUGAUAUCUGUACAACAAUGUCUUACAUUCCUUCCAUCGAGAUCUAUUCCAGGGCCACGCUCAUCUCAUAAAAUUAUAGCAAUUGGCUAUAUUUAUGGUUGUUGUUUCAUUGAGAUGUGAACAAAAUAUUUAAGAAAUGUACAAUAAUAAUUUUAAUCUAUUGAUUGAUUAUGUAAUUAUGUUAACAAUGAUUUAAACUUUAUGCAGGUUUUUAUGCAACCAACCACCAAUACCACCAAUAACAACUAAAUGGUUUAAAUAUCAUCAUCAAUGUGUCGUAGGUUGGACAACUUUGUAUACGACUGAUAUAAUGGCUUUUAGAGAGUUAGUGCCUAAUGUUGCCACUCGAGAUACGAUAGAUUUGAGUAGCCAAUAAAUUAUCAUAUGACACUACAAUAUUUAAUAAAUAGAUUCUUGAAUAUUUAGACUUCUUAGAAAAUAUUUUUAAUAUUUUGUAAUUAUUUGCUAGAGUUAUAAUUCAAAAGUUUUUCUUUUCAUUGCUUUGGUGUUGAUUUGAUUUGAUUUUCAUUUUCAAAUUAGUAAGUUGAACUUGAAUUUGAGCAUGUUUGGGAGUGGAAAUACGAAAUGAAAAGUCAACUUAGAAUUUUCAUGGAUUGUUAAAUGCUUGACAUGUAAGGGGCUUGUGAUAUCAAAGGAAUUACGAAGUGAAGGCUUCGAUAACAUGUUGGCUUAUGAGCUGUCAACAAUUAAUUUUUUAAGUUAAAACAAAAAAAAAAUCUAGAAAAAGAAAAUAAAAGAAAAUAUUAUAAAUAUUAAAUAGAUAGGGGCAUUUUUGGUAUUUAUAGGAUAGAUUUACAAAAUAUAUUCAUUUUAAUUUAUUUAUUUUUAAUCGGAUGGGCUAAUUCAUGGGGUGGUUUUACAGAAAGCAAUGGGAGAAAUAUCAUUACCCCAUUUUAAAUUAUUAAUAUUAUUUUUAGACUUUUUUUUCUUUAGUGAGGCGGAGGCCAAGACAAGACAACUGGGCAUGUGCAACUGGCUCAUUCAUCGAGUGGGUGGGGUUGAAGUUUGAACGCGGCAAUAUGAGUCAACUCAAUCAAUUCAUUUCCUUUAUAUUCAAGAAACAUUUGAGAUUCUCCGGGUCGAGGCCAACCCGACUCCGCCUGCUCUUCUUCUUCGCCCUAUUUUUCUUUCAAAGGUAUGUUUUCAUUUUACCUUUUUUUUUUCCUCAGUUAGUUUGCAUUUUUAAGCAAAAGUUUGAACUUGGUAUCAUCUUCAAUCUUCUAAUAAGCUUUGUUAACUCAGUUUUUUGGAAAAAAUAAAUGGUUGUUAUCCAUGAGGAAAGUUCUCCAAUGUUUCUAUGUACUGUCUCUUGACCAUCUGCAACCAGUGACCAAAUCAAAAUCUUUGAUUUGAGGGUUAUUUUGCUAUAACUAAUAACUAACAGAGGUUACAGUAUAAUAAAGACUACUUUAGAGGAUAACUUUGUAUGACGUGGAGGGGUCAUUUUGUGGUUAAUGACGUUUAACAGGGGCCAAAAUACAAAUAAGAUAUCAAUAUUUUUGCUACAAAAUUGAGGGAGGUUUAGUUCAUAAUCAUUGAUCAUUGAUGGUUCUGUUCUGUUUUUAGUUUUAAUUUGUAAUAACAAACUUCUAUCAUAUAAUUUGAUCUCAUUCACUUAAGUCAAUAUAGAGUUGGCUCAAUCUGACCAAAAUAAAACUCUAAUGUUAAUUAUAUAAUGUCUGGUUAUGGUUUGUUGAAGUUUAAGUGCUUUUUUAAUUUAAGUUAUUUGAUUGAGUGAGUACUUAAUAUGAUACUGAGGAGUUUUAUGGCGGCUGAAUUUGGUACAAAUUACUAAGGAUUGACCAUGGAUAUAGAAUUACGAACCAUCAACCAAGAAUUACUCAAUGUAUUAAGACGUGGGGAUGAGCAUCAAAUCAGGCUACUUGCAGGUCGAAUGCAAAAUAUUUUCAGCACAAUGAGUCCCCAAGCCAACACAGUACUUCAUAUGGCUAUCAGAUUUCGAAACCAUAAAGUGAGACCGGAGAUUCUCAGGCAACAUGAUUCACUUGUCCAUAAUAGCAACUAGAAGGGUGAGACUCCAUUGCAUAUAACUGCGAGGUUUGGUGACCCUGCUAUCGUUAGUACAAUCUUGUAUUAUGUGCCGGCCAUUGUAAUGGAACAGAAUCAAAACCGAGAGCCUUUUAAUGAUGACAGACAAUGAAGGCAACACUCCUCUGCAUGAUGCUGUAAGAAACAAACAUGAGAAAGUUGUUCGGAUGCUGGUGAAAACUUUUAACUCAAAUUUACAGAGAAUGUUACAAGCUUCAAAACAAGCCUAAAUUCACUACUUAAUUAGUCCUCAAGUAUUCAAAUGAGAUCUUGUACAGCUUAUAAACCCAGUUUGAUCAAACAUAGUCAACCAAAUCUGUUAGCCACGUCAGCAUCUUUUUGCAGCAUUUCCCCGCUAAAAUUGGGGAAGGAAAUGGCACCCUGAUCAGAAUUUACGAAGUGAGACCCGAAAGUUUACUAACUUGUCAAAUACAUCCCCGCUUCAUAAUAUUGAAUCAUACUCAACAUCGUGAAUUAAGUUUUUUUUAAAUUAGAUUUAUUUUUUAAAAAAUCAAAACAUGAAAAAAAAAUCAGUAAAGAACUAGAAAAUGAGACAAAAAAAUGUUAGUUGUGAACACGAUGCUUGUAGUGCACGCGUUUACCAAGUUGGGAACACGAUGCUUGUAAGUACACGCGUUUACCAAGCUUACACAUUCUACAUAAUAUUUUAAAUAAUUGCAUUUUGAGACUUAUCUUUUGUUAAAUAUGUAUAUUUUAUUCAAAAUAAGGUUGUCGUGUUACUUAAUAUGUGUGUUUUCUACUUAUUUAUAGACACAAUUCUAAUACAAAUAUAUAUAAUAAAUUUAUAAUUUAGCACGAUAUCAAUUGCAUAACAAAAAUUUACACAAAUUUACAUCCACGGUUAACGUGACAUUUUUUUUCCACAAAAAAAAAAGAAAAGAAAAUGAAUGUGAACAUGAUAUUUGAAAAUUGUUGACUACGAAUUCUAUAACUUCUUUUUAAUUAUAGGAAAAUUAUCAGCCAUAUACCCUUAAAUGACACCCGUAUCAAACGUGUAUGAACAUUUUUCAAGUGUAUCACUCGUAUACCCUAAGUUGACAAAAUAUUUCUGUCAUCCACCAAUCCGUUAACUUCCGUUAGAAAGUUAACAAAAUUAUGGCAAAUUGACUAUUUUGCCCUUGAAACUCAAAAUGAGGUAAAAAGAUAAAUUUACUCAAAAAAUUAACGUAAAUUUUCAAUACAUAUUUUUUUUUAUUUUGUUAUUAACAAUACAUUUUUAUAUUAAAAAAUGAAUUAUUAAUGGUACAUAUUAUUAACCAUUAUCCAUAAAAAAAAAUCCAUAUUAUACUAUAAAAAUUUAUUAACAACAUAUUAUUUACAAUUAUACAUAUUAUACCAUAAAAAUUUCCAAUUGGAGCUUGGAGGAGUAGAUCUUCAAAAAUUUAGGUUAAAUUUUGGAGGAAUAGAUUCGGUUGUAAAAUAAUUUUUUUAGCAAUUAUUAAUAAUUAUCCGAUAAAUAGGAUGACAUGUCCUUUUUAUCAAUAAAUAUCAUAUGACAUGUCAUUUUUUACUAGGUAAAUGGGAUAAUAUGUCGUUUUUUUAAUCAAAGUUUCGUCAAUCUUAAAAGACUAGAUUACCCUUAUGAUGUCUGCGCUUGCAAACGGAAGUUAACGGAUUGGUAGACGGCAGAAGUGUUUUGUCAACUUAGGGUAUACUAGUGAUACACUUGAAAAGUGUUCACACACAUUUGAUACGGGUGUCAUUUAAAGGUAUAUGGCUGAUAAUUUCCCUUAAUUAUAUAUGACUUUCCGUCUCGGGAGAUAUUCAGCUCAUGACCAAUAACUAACCUAUAUGAAUAAUUUUACUAUAUUUAAUUUAAUUCUUUUUAAAUUUAUUAAAAUAAUCUCUAUAAAUUCAUAAACUCAUAAAAUUUUAAAUUUAACUCCUGAUAAUCAUUUUACAUUUUUACUGAACAUACCACCAACUUUCACCCAUAAAUGAAGAGUUGUAUUUUUAAAUACAUUAUUUGAAAAGAUUCAAAAAAAAAAUAUGGUACAGGUCCAUAUCACCAAUGACCCAGCUGUACCACAUUAAAUUUGUACAUAUUCCCCGCAAUCAUGAUUCAUAGAUACAUACUGGAAUUAUAAAUAUUUAAUAGUGAAAGAUAUAUAAAAUAUACAUCUUUUGACAGCUUCAUUUCAAUAAAUUUGUUUUUUUUUUCUUUUUCUUUUUCUUUUUUUUUUGGUCUUAUGUGGGUUUAUGGGCACUGACAAUAACUCUUUGGUUAGUCCGUCUCCCCUUUCCUCACUUUAAAUUGAACGAUUUGAAUUUUCCUAGCGAUUCUAGAAACAAUUUCUUAUGUUAAACUUGGCGGACUUUAAUUAUAUACUUUACGUUUUAGUUUUGGAAUAUAUUAACAGUAAUACUACACAUCCCAAAUUUCUUAUCUCAAAAAGUUAUCUCAAAUGAUGUGUCAUUAAUUGAGUGGUUGAUAAUUAUUUAUAAUAUCCAAGUGAAUUAAUUGUAUUAUCUCAUCAACUAAUUGAUAAAUGACACAUCAUUUGAGAUAACUUUUUAAGAUAAAAAAUUUGGGAUGUGUAACAUUAUUGAUAUAUUAAUGGACUGAUUUGAUUCUAUAUAAUAUUACAAAAAUAAUAUUAUUGGCCGAUGUUUAUUUUUCCAAUUGAAAAGGAGUUCAGGACAAAAUUCUGGUUACUUUCUCUUUGUCCUGUAACUAAUAUAACAUUUUUUUUUUGUCUAAGUCUACAUUUGACUGAACUCUAAAUAAAUCUAUAUAUAUAUGACUUUUUUUUUUAAUAUAUACGUUAAGUUGUUUGUUUUUUAAAAAUAAAUAAUUUAAAAUAUAAUAUUUUGACAUAUAUAAUCUCAUAAAUAUUGACAAUACUUAUAUUUUAUUAAUUAAAUAAAUGAAUUUAAUGAUAAGUUAUAAAAAAAACUAUUUGAUUCGUAAAAAAAAAAUUGAUAAUGUAUACCUUAACAAAGCAUGAAAAAUAAAACAAAAUAAAAUAUGUAUCUAGCAUAUGUAUUUUUUUGGGAUAUUAUCAUUUUCCCACCAAAGGUAUUCUGACACAUCAUGUCAGUACCACGGUUUGGUAAAAUCAUCAAUUUAUCACCAAAUAUUUAAACUGUUAGCAUUUUCCCACCAUUCCGUUAAAACUCAGUUAAUAUGUAACGGAAAAUUCAUAAAAGGUCAAUUUUACCCCUGGAGCGUAAAAGACUAUGUAAUUAACCUUUUAUGAAAUUUGUAAUUAAAUCAUCAUUUGUUGUUCUUCCUUCUUAAAGGGCAAAAAUUACCCUUUAUGAAUUUUGUAAAAUUGACCUUUUAAAAGACCAUGUAAUUAACCUUUUAUAAAAUUUGUAAUUAAAUCAUCAUUUGUUGUUCUUCCUUCUUAAAGGGUAAAAUCGUAUUUUACGCUCCAGGGGUAAAAUUGACAUUUUAUGAAUUUUCCGUUACAUAUUAACUGAGUUUUAACGAAAUGGUGGGAAAAUACUGACAGUUUAAACAUUUGGUGGUAAACUGAUGGUUUUACCAAAUCGUGGUACUGACAUGAUGUGUCAGAAUACAUUUGGUGGGAAAAUGAUAAUAUCCUAUUUUUAAAAAAAAAUUAAUAUAUGAUACUAAAUGGUGACCUAGCUUUCUUCUUCUUCUUCUUCUUCGUCUUCCUUUGGACUGGUCCAUUUGAUAAAGUUCGAUAAUUUAUUUUUUUUCUUUCGUUAUCAUUGAUUAACUUCAAAUAACUAUAUAUAUCAUAUAGAAGUUUACUUGAUAGACACGACAAGUCAUAAGUUCACACUCCCCGUUCUGCCGAUGACUUUAUUUUUGGUGACUUUAAUUUCUUUCUAGUAAACUACAUUUUAAAGCCAAAACCGCGUAGGAUUGUCAUCUCAGGUCCUACUAUACUCUUAGAAAAUCAUUAUCCCUGUUUUAUUCCUUCACUUACCUUAAUCCUCUACUGGGUUUCUAGUUUAGUUUUAAUUUCUAAAGAUCAGUACUCGAGCAGUCUCUAGCAGAAUCAAUGGGGUGUUGUGUAAGCAAAAGCCAACGUUUUCCAAUUCUUGGUAAACCUUAUGAAGAUGUUAUGUUACAUUACUCUUUUGGCAGAAUGUUGGGUAGGGGUCGAUUUGGUGUGACUUAUUUAUGUACCGAGAAUUCAACCAACAUGCCAUAUGCUUGCAAGUCUAUGGCUAAGAAGCCAAAGAUGAAAUAUGCAGAAAAUGAUAUGAUGAUCAGAAGAGAGAUUCAGAUAAGGCGGCUCUUGAGUGGGCAGCCUAACAUUGUUGAGUUAAAGAGUGCUCAUGAGGAUGAGACUGCUGUGCAUGUGGUUAUGGAAUUAUGUGAAGGUGGUGAUCUGUUUGAUAGGAUUAUUGCCAAGGGUUAUUAUAGUGAGAGAGAUGCAGCCCCUGUACUCAGGGCUAUUGUGAAUGCCGUGAAUGUCUGCCACUCCAUGGGCGUUAUGCACAGGGAUCUCAAACCUGAGAAUUUCUCCUUCAUCAGCAGGGAUGACAAUGCUCUUUUGAAGGUCACCGAUUUUGGGUCCGCACUUCUCUUUGAAGAGGGUAAUUUCUCGUCCUUGAUUAAUUAAUUAGCUACAAUUUUUUAUAAUAUGCAAAUUGAUCGUUUCCUUUCCUGAACCCCUUUUUUUAACUGUUUUCAAGAGUUAAGCUUAGAUUGUGAGAAUUUUUUUUUUAAAAAAAAAAAUCGUUUUAUUAAUAUGAAAUCUGACGCAAUAUUAUCAUAUUAAUAAUAAAAAAAUAAAAUCAACUAACACAGUAAUCUUAAGAUACAUUUUAUUUUUUAAGAUGGAUUAAAUAUCAAAUCAUUUUAUUUUGUGAAAAGCCUUGACGAAGCAAGGAAAAUUAUAUUAAAAUAGAAAAGGGUGGUGGAACUUAUGGCUGGAACCAUGAGUGCAUCUAAAGUUGAUAUUACAAAAUUUCUUACGACAAUUGACCCAACGAUUACGAAGCUGCCAGGGAGGCCUAAGAGUUCGUUCGAAGAAAAAGAGCACAAUCAACAUAGAGUCAAUUUCCACCACCCUUAAGCAUAAGCCAAAUCAAUCACCGAAAAAAGCAGACAUAAAGGCAGUGUUAUUAUUCUUGUCAAUUUAUAAAUAAAUAAAUGAAAAGAAAAAGUUUUCAAAUUAAUCAACUUAAUUGCCAACCCAUUCUCUACAUCCGCAGUGUCUCGGGCUGGCUAGUGAAUUGUAUUACCUCGCAUCAAACUAAAUUAUAUAGAUAAAUUCUGAUCUUAUCUAAGAUAUUAACAUUAAUUUUAAUUCUUGACUGAUGAUCUAAUGGUACACUUCCAGGAAAGGUAUAUAGAGAUAUUGUAGGGAGCGGUUUUUAUAUUGCUCCUGAGGUAUUACGGCGCAGAUAUGGGAAGGAGAUAGACAUUUGGAGCGCAGGCGUUAUCCUGUAUAUUUUACUAUCUGGUGUACCUCCAUUUUGGGCAGGUGAAAAUAUUCGUUUGAUUUGCAGCCUAGCUACAUGCAUGAUCUCUUUUCACUUCAACAACCGUACCCUUUACAUGUUUAUUUCCAUUACCUUAAAUACCUAAGUACAGCAAGUGUAAAUAUAGUCAAUCAGUACUUGUGAUGAUGUAUAUAUGCACCCUGCAGAAACGAAGAAGGGCACUUACGACGCUAUAUUGCAAGGAGAAAUUGACUUUGAAACUGAUCCAUGGCCAAGUAUUUCCAGCACUGCCAAGGGCUUGGUACGCAGGAUGCUGACAAAGGAUCCAAAAAGGCGGAUUACUGCUGCUCAAAUUCUAGGUAGACAGCACUAGAGAAUCCUGAGGCUUGUUAUCUGUUUAGUUUUAUAGUCUGUAUAUAAGUUCAAAAUUUACUUGGUCCAAUUAAUCGCACCAAUAUUAUCGAUACCACUGAGAAUUGAAUGCAUGAUAUGCAGAGCAUCCUUGGCUUAGAGAAGGUGGAGAAGCAUCAGACGACACUUCUGUUAUUUUAAGGAUGAAGCAGUUUAGGCGAAUGAGCAAACUAAAGAAACUCACAGUAAAGGUAAUCUAAUUUAAUUAGUCUAACUAACAAUAUAUAUAGCUCUUCAAAAUUUAGGUAUGCCCAUAUUAGUACAGGAUUCGAACUGACGUAUGAAAAUCUAUUAUUUGUUAUUGAUAUCAACAAUGAUUAAUUUAUUCUUGAGUUUUGAUCAUAGUAUCUUAUAAACUAUAUGUGCAGGUCCAAUGAAUUAAUUUGUAAAUUUGAUUGUGCACCCCUUCUGAUAUACUGAGUGGUUAUUUAUUAGGUCAUUGUGGAAUAUCUUCCCGACGAAGAAACACAAGCGCUAAAGGAAAAGUUCAUAGAGAUGGACACUGACAAAAAUGGCACUCUCAGUUAUGAUGAACUGAGGGCAGGAUUAACUAAAGUUGGAUCGAUGCUUACAGAAUUUGAUGUCAAGCAGUUAAUGGAAGCUGUAAAGAAUUCAUCAACUCUUGAGUUUAUUCUAUAUACCGUCUAUCAAUUGGCAUCAUUACACUCAAGUGAUAUUGUUUGCCAUAUAUAUAUACACAAUUUUUUGCAGGCUGAUAUGGAUGGAAAUGGGGCUAUUGACUACACUGAGUUUACAGCUGCUACGAUUCAAAGGCAAAAGCUAGAAAGAUCUGAGUAUCUUAGCAAAGCCUUUCAAUAUUUUGAUAAGGAUAAUAGUGGGUAAGUUUCUGACUCUAAAUUAAAUUAAUGUCAAAAAAUUAAAAAAAAAAAUGAUGACCAUUUGGAAAUUUUAAUAUCUAUAGCCUCAGAAAGACCAGAUAUUGUUAUGCUUUUCUUUUAAUUAUUAUUGGAAAAGGAUGCUGAAGUUAUUUUCUGAAUGUGCAGAUAUAUCACAUUAGAUGAACUGGUUACAGCUUUUAAAGAAAAUAACAUGGGCGAUGAUGCUAAAAUUAAGGAAUUGUUGUCUGACAUUGAUAGUAAUAAAGUAAGUUGAUUUUAAUUUUGAUUUUCUGACAACAGUAUUAAUUUCUCUGAAUUAUCUAUUAAUAUGUGGAAGCUCUCACGGGUCACGUCUUCAAUUUGUGUUUUAAGGAUGGUAUGAUCAGCUACGAUGAAUUUCGUGCAAUGGUGGAAAGCCCCCAAACUAUAAGAAAUGUGUCGCACAUUUACACUGACAAAGCCAAAAAAUUUGGAUUAGGGUAAAUACUUUUCUGACUUUAUAAAAUAAUAUGUACAUACUACAUAUAUAAUUUUUCUUAUAGUCUUGAAGAAAUAUCAGCUAUACAAAAGCAGAUUAUUUAAUUCAGCUCAAUUUCUCAUAAGAAAACACAAAGACUAGUUCCUAUAGUUAUUAGUUUUUCUCAUCUAUGUUGCUUUGAUUAUGAGCUAAAAUUUAUUUAGUCUAAAUUAUGAUGGUACCAGUAGUAGUAGUAGUGUGUGUGUGUGUGUAUAUGUAUAUAUAUAUAUAUAUAUAUAUAUAUGUUCAAUUUGUGCAGACAAAGCUAGCUAAUUGACACCGCUGUUAAUUAUUUUCAGGAAUACCAAGCAAUUUAGAGCAAUGAACAUGCUAAAGAAACUCGUUCUACAGGUAAUUAAUUAUAACUUCAGCACAUUCAGAAAAUAACUUCAGCAAUGCCGCACAUGCAAACCACAAAACCUUUAAUCAUAGUUUGUCACACGCGAUGUCACGUACACCGGAUCAAAAUUCAAUUGAUAAAAAAACAGAUGACAUUGACCACACCUAGCUAACUAAUAAUUAAUGUUAUUAAAAAGAUUCUUCCCAUUUAGGAGCUAGCUCAGAUUAGGACUCAAGUAUGAGAAUUGGAUACAACAGUGACAAUCGUUAGUUAAAUGCUUGAUUGAAUUUCUGCAUCUGCACUUCCUCACCAACAGUGUUUUUGUUGCAAAGUAUUUGUUAUUAUAUUCUGUAAGCUAUAUAUGUGCAAGCCAAUGAAUUUAUGCAUUUAAUUGAGCUUCCUCUACUGAUAAAACUGAGUGGAUUUUCAGGUCAUUGUGGAAAAUCUUCCAACAGAAGAAAAGCAAAAGCUAAUGGAAAAAUUUAGAGAGAUGGACACUGACAACAGUGGCACCCUUACUCUCAGUGAGUUGAAGGCAGGAUUAGCUAAACUCGGAUCAGCGCUUGAAGAAUCUGAAGUCAACCAAUAUAUGGAAGCUGUAAGGAAUUCAUGAACUCUGAAUUUAUUUUAGUGUCUGUCUAUUCGGAUAUUAUAUAUACUCGGCUGAUAUAUACUGUUGGCACUGCAUUUCUCCAGGGUGAUAUAGAUGGAAAUGGGAAUAUUGAUUUCAUUGAAUUUGUAAAUCUCAUGACGGAUAUAUACAAGCUAGAAACUCCUGAACUUCUUGAGAAAGCCUUUCAAUAUCUUGAUAAGAAUGGUGAUCAGUAAGUUUCUUGUUCCAAAAAAUUACUGCAUCAUUCUUUGGCCUUUUAAAAUCUAUAUAUGGCCGCCUCCAAUAGUUUGGUGGAGUGGUUUUUAAGCAGUUAUAGUUGGUUGGUUACAGAGUUUGAAUCCUGAGAAGAUAGAGGGCUAAAAGAAAUUAUUUGGGUUUUGAAAGUUAAGUUGAUUUAAUCGCACACUUGUAUGAUGAAAAAUCUAUGAUAUCUUUAUUAUUUUUGCUAAAAUUAUUAUUUAAAAGUUAUAUUUACUAUAUAUUAUCAAUUUAUUUAUUUAUUAUUUCAUACCUUCGGUGUUUUUUUUUUCCCAUAAUAACUAUGGCUUUUUAACAAAUGAAGUUUUUUCUAUUUCAUUUUUAUUGUUGUUAUGAUUAUGAUUAUUAUUAUGGAAAGGACACUGAAGUUCUUUUUGGGAUGUGUAGAUUUAUCACUGUGAAUGAACUGGAAACAGCUUUUAAAGAAAAUAAUAUGGGUGAUGAUGCUACAAUUAAGGAGAUAAUCUCUGAAGUUGGUAGAGAUCAUAAAGUAAGUUGAUUUUUAGUUUUUUGACAACAUGUUUGACAAUAAUAUUAUGUUUACUCAGUUGAUAUACUCAAUUUGUAUGAUAACCGAUGUAUUCUCAAUCAUUUAUUUGCAUGUGCAUGUCACUAAUUGAUUUUAUUUGUAUAAACUCAAACAAUGAAUGACACAUAAGAUGCUGCAUAAAUUCAGUUACAGACUAAUUAAGGAUAGCAUUUCAUUUGUCUGCAUUAUUGUUUUGAUCGCAAUUCUCACAUCUUUAAUUUUUGUUUUAAGGACGGAAGGAUCAGCUUUGAUCAAUUUUGUGCCUUCGUGAAAGGCGGAAGCCAACUGCGAGCACCUACUCUCGGAAAUCUGAGUUAUAUGUUGAAGGGAAAGGGCCAAAAAUUUCCCGUCGAGUAAAUAUUGAAAGUUACGUGAAUUUUUUGAAAUAAAAAAUCUUAUAAGUGAGUUUUAUUCUAUAAAAUAUUUAAUUUUUUUUUGCGUAAAUAAUAAUUUAGUUCUUAUAUUUAAGUUUAAAUAUUAAUUUAGUUUUUAUAUUUUAAAAAAUACCUUAAGAUAAUCUGAUAUUAAAUAUAUUGUACUUAUGUCCUUUUUCUUGACUUUAUAAUAAUGAUGUUCUUGUAACAAUCUUUUAGACAUUAUUGAAAAGUAAAUUAAUAACAAAAGAUUUAGAUUAAUUUUUAUUUUACUUAUAAGGUUAGUUUGAUCAAUUUUUUUUUUUUUUUUGUUUUCAUAAUGUCUGCAAAAUUAUUGUAAUGGUAUUAUUACAAAAGUAAUGGUAUUAUUGCAAAAGUUAAGAAAAAAUAAGGGUACAUUAUAUAAUCAGCACAGCACAACGAAAUCAUUAUAGAUUGGGUUGGCACCCUCAACCCCACAGGCUUUUUCCCCUUUCAAACAGAUUUGAAGCAUGUUAGAUUGUAAAUUAGCCCUAGGCCUUUUGCUCUUUACAGCCAAGCAAGUCUUGGAUUAUCUUCUUAUAUAUACAUUAUGGCCGGUGCUUGAUUUGUAUUUUUUGUUACUUCGCUCAACAGAAUAAAAUUGCUGAAUUGAAUUUCAGAGCUAAAAUGGCUAAAUGCUAAUUUUAUUUGUGUACAAGAUGAUCAGACAUAAUAGAGUAAACUUUCUUAACCAAUGAUUUUUUUAGUAAUGUUAUGUUUACAUAAAUAAAAUAUUUAAUUAGAAUUCUUACUGAUGUGACAUUUUAUAUGGAUCAUUUAUUGAUUGGAUUAUAGAAAUCAAAUGUAAGUAAUUAAUAAUGAAAUCAAUUAAUAUCAUAUACAUGAUCACGAAAUCUAUCAAUGAAAUAAGCAUAACAAAUAAGCAUAAUGAGAUUAUUUUAAUUUGAUAAAAGUGGCUUUCUCUCUCUCUCUCUCUCUCUCUCUCUUUUUUAGUUUCUCUUUUGAGAAGAGUUUUUCUAAUAUAACAAAUCUUCUUAAACAACGAAUUUUAAUUUAGGUUCUAAUUUUUUUUUAUAUCGAAGUUGUUAUUAAAUAACAUGCUUAUGGGACUAAAUGACAUAACCCACCACAUCAACUGAAAAUGCGGAUUGUGAGUUAAUCCCACCUAUAACAAAUAAUAGAUUUGUUAUGAAAAAGUCCUAUUAAAACGAAGUAAUCUAGUUACUUUUGAUUGGUUAAUUCACAAGAUAAUUUUGGAUCAGAAUUUUCUCCUAUAAUUGAUAGUUAAUAAAUAAAAAUAUUAUAAAUAAAUUGAUUUUGACUGACUAUACAUUAACAAAAACAGAUACGCAUCAAAAUAAUUUUUUUAAAAGUUAUGUAUGCUUAGAUUAUGGGAUGAUACUUAUCCAACAAUUUCACCCAUGAUGUUUUAAUAUCUGAUCUUUUUUUUUUUGUCUUAACCACGGGGUAUCCUGGGGAGGGCUCCAACUGUGGGAGGCACCUUUAAGCUCAUACCACAACCCAGACUAGAAGUCCCCGCUCGAACCGAGAGGCACAAAUUCUCCCAACAAAUGCGACUUCCUUACGAUUCAAACUGGAGAGCAAACUCUGUCAAGCCACUUAAGGUGACUCCAUUGCCAGUGGAGCCAACACUUUAUUGGUUUAAUAUCUGAUCUUUUAUGUAACACUUUUUAGUUUACCAAAAUAAUUUAUUUUAAAAUCAAUAAAAAAAAAAUCAAUUUUUAAAUUUUGUUGCCAUUGAGAUAUAGAUUAUGACAACAUUUUCAGUUGUUCAUACUGUGUUGAUUGAUGUUAUAUGAAUAUUAGAACAACCACGUCUUUAUAUAUAUAUAAAAAAAAAACAUUGAAGAGAUUAAAAAAUUGAAGGGUGAUGAUUAAGGAGAUGGAUCGUUAAUUUUAUUAAUAUUUUUUAUCUCCCUCUCUCUCCUGUCUUUAAUAAUGUUUCUUUCCUUCAAUGAUUUUUUAAUCUCUCCACUCCACUGCCUUUCUCUCCUUCUUCCUCUAUCUGUUGUUAAUUAUUAUUUGUUUAUCUUUCAUGUCAUAUAUAAAAAAAAAGGGAAAAAAACGAUUAUUUAAAAAUUCCAAAGAGAUUGAGGCUUCUGAGUGGAGGAAUGUACAGAGUCAAAGGAACUGCUGAGAAAGCCACUGUGAAAAACAGCUGCAGCAUUAUUAAUAAUUAAUAAGCCCACACAACCAGUACAGAGAGAUUUCCGAGCUCUUGUUUUUUCAAGUUUUUGAAAAAGAAAUGAUUUGGGAAAUUUCACUUUGGCCUUCUGAGCAUAAACAUUUGGAUUUGUAUAUAAAUAUUUUAAUUUAAAAGAAAAAAAAAGAGAGAAGCUUCAAAGAAGAGGAAAAGAGUUCUGGAAAUUUAGAGAAAGAUGAAAAGUUGAAGAAAGUUCAUUGCUAGGUGCGCGCAUGACCGGUGGUUGCGUUGUGGGGGCUGGUAAUUACCUGCCGAUGAUCUGAGUCUGAGUCAACUCCUAUUUAUAUAUAUAUAUAUAUAUAUAUUAAAUGUAUUUGCUUCUCAUGAUAAGAAUAACAAGGAUUAAGUGUCGCUUAUUGAUUGUACUGACAUUAUGAUUCAUAAUUUAAAGAGGGAAAAAACAAAACUAAAGGAUAACUCUUUGUUUGGAAAAUUUUAAAAAUUAUAUAAAAUUAAUAUCCCAAUUUAUAAUAUAGUUUUUAUUGCUAUAACAGUUAUCAGCUCUCUUUUUAGAUGAUCAUGAUAAUAUCCUUCCAACAGGACAAAACUAUCUUGCCCAUGUCAAUGUGGUGGAUAGGCGCUGUCACCAUGCUUAAGUAUUUAAGCCAUUUUGGAAUUUUUCCCAUUGUUGUAUCACGCAUUAUCACUGCAAAUUGUGGGAGCUGUGUGUUCGUGUGCAAGCCACAGUAACCUUUUUUAUAGGUAGCACAAAACGGUGCGGUAGUAAGAAUCUCAUUUUCCAUCAUUUAAAGAUUAAAAAAAAAAAAAGUGAGGUGAUAUUUUAUCCUAUAAUUUGUGUAAACAAAUUGCACUUAAAAAAGGUUAACAAAAAAAAAAAAAAAACAUGUCACAGGGUUUGUUAGUUUAAUUGAAAAUUAACAGUCAAAUUAAUAAAUAGCUGGUAUCUGUCCAUGUGAUUGUGGGAGUAAAAUUUCCCAUAAUAUAGUAAUAAAUCUCUCCAUCCUUCAUUGGAAUAAAUUUUUAUCCAGUAAAAUGAAGGUUUUAAAUUCCUCUCUUUCGGCCAAACCGAUUAAGUCUAGACUCCUCUCCUCUGGUCUACGCGCUGUGCACUGCUACUUUGCCCUGAGAUUCUUGCUUUUGUUGUGCGUGUGUGGUUCAAGACUCUGGAAGGUAUGUUUUCAUUUAACUUAAUUUCCAAUUUCGAUUUUUUUUUCUUUAAUUUUAUUUUAUUGUUAAACUUUUAACUUCACAGUUUCGUACACCGAUUUGAAUUAAACUUCAGAUUAACAAUAGUCCAUAACCUUUCGUCUCUCUCACUUACUCUUUCCUCUCCCUUUUUCACAAACCCCUUGAAGCUUUUAACAAUUUUCAUACUCAGUUAAUUUAAAUUCGAGUUAAACUUCAACUUGAAUCUUUCAAGAUCUAGAACAAUGUAAACGUAAUUAUUAACGUAUAGAAUUCGUAUAGCAUUCGGUUUUGUAUAUAGAAGUCGUAUAGAAUUCGGUUUCAUAUUUAAAGUAAUUAGAUUUGUAUAUAUAUUAUGAAUCUGUAAUGCUUUUCUACUUAGGAUUCUAUUCUUUAGGGUUGUACAUCUAUAUAUAUAUGUAGCAACGUUAAUGCAAGUAAUAACAAGAGUUUUAUUCAUAAACUCCGUUCUUUAUUUUACAUGGUAUCAGAGCUUUGCUCACUUAUCAAAUUAUUAUCUUCGUUCUUUUGCUUUUGUUUAAAUACUCAUGGCAGAUGGUCAAUCAUCAAAACAAGCUGCCAUCCUUAAUAAACAGGAGGAUGACGUCUUCCUUGUCCACCCAUCAGAUAGUCCAACUGCUGUAUUGGUCUCUCCUUUACUCACUGGUGAUAACUAUGGUACAUGGGUAAGGGCAAUGACUAUGGCUUUAUGAGCGAAAAACAAGCUCGGUUUUGUUGAUGGAACUAUAUCAAAACCAGAUGAAGAUGAAAAUGAUGGUGGUAGAUGGCAACAUUGUAAUGAUCUUGUUGGAUCUUGGGUGUUGAACUCCAUAGCAAAUGAACUUGCGGGAAGUGUGUUGUAUGCACAGUCUGCUAGAGAAGUAUGGCAGGAUUUGCAAGAACGUUUUCAGCAGACCAAUGCGCCAAAAAUCUAUGAACUCAAACAGGCCAUCUCUAAUUUACGACAAGGAGAUGCAUUUGUUUCAUUUUAUUAUACUCGCAUGAAGGCGCUUUGGGAUGAGUUGAAUUCUCUACAACAAGUAGGACCAUGUACUUGUGCGAAUGCAAAAAUUGUCAGUCAAUUGCAGCAACUAGAUCGAGCUAUGGAGUUUCUUCAAGGAUUACAUGAUAGAUAUGUAGCAACGAGGAGUCAGAUUUUGUUUAUGGAUCCUUUUCCUAAUGCAAAUAAAAUUUAUUCCCUUGUGAGGCAAGAAGAAAAACAACAAGAUAUUCACGCUAUAGGGGGAUCUCCAGAAGCUGCAGCAUUGACAACACAAAGCCGAAAUUCAUUUGGAAAUAGGAAUUGGAAUAACAAUUCUGCAGUAGAUAACAAAGGAGGAAACUUGAAUGCAAAUGGGGGCAGACCAUCGUGUGAACACUGUGGAAAAUUAGGCCACACAAAACAAAAAUGUUUUGAGUUAAAUGGAUAUCCACCAAAUUGGAGAAGACGUGGACAAGGUAAUAAAAAUGAGAUUAAAGCUGCCAUGGCAACAAAUAGCAAUCAAGACGUCCAAACACCAAUAUUUACUCAAGAGCAAUAUCAAAAACUCCUAGCUAUGUUGUCCUCUUCAGGUAGUCUACAUACUGCAAAUCUUGCAGGUAUAGCACUUAAUUCCUCUUUAUCACAUACUUGGAUCAUAGAUACAGGCGCUACCAAUCAUAUGUGUAGUUCGCUAGAUUUUUUUCACUCCUAUAAACCAUGUCAUGUUCCUCUUCACGUUCAAUUACCAGAUGGUACAGUAGCACAAGUUACUCACAUAGGGAAAGUCUCCUUUUCACUAGAUUUUUUAUUAGACAAGGUAUUUUACAUUCUGAGUUUUAAGUUUAAUUUACUGUCUGUUAGUCAGUUAACCAAAUCAAAUAGAUAUAAGGUAAUUUUUUCUUCCAAUUUUUGUGAGUUUCAGGACCUAUACACGAAGAAGCAGAUUGGCAAGGGUAGACUUCGUGAAGGUCUUUUCUACAUCCAACUUCCAGCUGCAUUUUCUUUCACCUCCCAAAUCACCUCUACACAUGAGAUUGAUCUUUGGCAUUGGAGACUUGGCCACCCUUCUCUUGGACGUUUAGAGCAUUUUUCAAAAACUUGUCCUAUGGUUAGUUUUAAUAAAGAAUAUGUUUGUGAUAUUUGUCUUAAAGCAAAACAAACUAGAAAGCCAUUUUCCAUUAGUAGCAUCAAAAGUAAAAUACCUUUUGAAUUAAUCCAUUGUGAUGUUUGGGGUCCUUUUUCAACUUCAAGUUUUUCAGGGGCUCAUUAUUUUUUAACCAUUGUUGAUGAUUAUACUCGAUGCACUUGGUUAUAUUUAAUGAAAACCAAAUCUGAAACCCAAUUGCAUUUACGUUCUUUUCAUGCAUUGAUAAAAACUCAAUUUAAUGCUAACAUUAAAAUUGUACGUUCUGACAAUGGGACUGAAUUUCUUGUUAAAGAAUUACAGAAAUUUUUUUUAUACCAAGGGAUCAUUCAUCAAAGAAGUUGCGUUCGAACACCGCAACAGAAUGGUGUGGUUGAGCGUAAACAUCGCCAUAUUCUCGAAGUUGCGCGAGGUCUACGUUUUCAAGCCAAUUUGCCAAUUAAAUUCUGGGGGGAGUGUGUUCUUACUGCAACAUUUUUUAUCAAUAAAUUGCCUAGUGAUGUUCUUAAUGGAAAAACCCCACAUGAAAUGCCUUUUAGUAUAGCACCAGAUUUAUCACGCCAAAAAGUUUUUGGUUGCUUGUGUUUUGCCAAAAAUUUACAAGUUAAAAAUAAAUUUGAUCAGCGGGCGAAAAUGGAAAUUUUUAUUGGUUAUCCUUUUAGUCAAAAAGGAUAUGGGAUUUAUGAUAUUAAAUCUAAGACAAUCUAUGUGUCACGUGGUGUUCUCUUUUAUGAAUAUAUUUUUCCUUUUAAGGAUGUUAAAUCACCGGUUUUUUCUACACAUGUCACUAAUGAGUUUUUAUUUGAUGAAAAUUUUUUCGAGUCCAACACUCUUUUAUCACCUUCUCCUAAUGAAAACAUAAGUUCAUCACAUGCUCUUCAUGAACGUGACCCACCUUUGCAAGACACAGAUCCAUCCGUCACCAAUUCUUCUUCUCCUAACACCACUCAUGAACACAUCAUCACUGAAACAUCAUCUACCCAACAGCCUAGUUCACCAGCAGAUGCAACCUUAGAUUCAUCACUUUCUUUAGGCAACCAAAAUAUCCAAACUCCCACACGACCCCAACGUGAUAGACGCCCACCAGCUUACCUUCAAGAUUAUUGUACUCUUGCUUCUCACAAUUCUACCCCUGCUGAUCUUAUUUCUUCGUCUCCAGGUAAGAAAUAUCUUCUUCACAAUUUUAUUUCUUAUCAUCGUUUUUCUCCAGCACAUAAGUCCUUUUUGUCUGCCAUUACUUCUACAACCGAACCAAGUUUUUUUUCAUGAGGCAGUCAAGUUACCUGAGUGGCGCAAAGCCAUAGAGGAUGAGAUAACAGCUCUUGAGAAAAAUAAUACGUGGACUCUAACUCAUUUGCCAGAUGGUAAAAAGGCUAUUGGCAGCAGAUGGGUUUACAAAAUUAAAUAUCAAUCCGAUGGCACCAUUGAGCGUUACAAAGCUCGUUUAGUUGCUAAGGGAUAUACUCAAACAGAAGGCAUUGAUUAUCAUGCUACUUUUUCACCGGUUGCUAAGCUUGUCACUGUGAGAGCUUUACUUUCUCUUGCGGCUGUUAAGGGUUGGAUUUUAGAACAAUUAGAUGUAAGCAAUGCUUUUUUACAAGGAGAUUUAGAGGAAGAAGUUUAUAUGCAAGUACCACAAGGUUUUUCUAAGCAGGGGGAGCAUUUAGUCUGCAAACUCAACAAAUCUAUCUACGGAUUAAAACAAGUAUCCAGAAAUUGGUUUUCCAAGUUUUCUGCUACUAUUCAACAAGCUGGUUUUCGCCUAUCUAAAGCUGACUAUUCAUUAUUUGUAAAAACUAAUGCCAAAUUUUCAACCUUUGUGUUAGUUUACGUUGAUGAUAUUAUCGUAGCAGGGAAUGAUGCUGCCGAGGUUAGCAGAAUUAAAGAUUUCCUUGCACAGAAAUUUUACAUCAAGGCAUUAGGGAAGUUGAAGUAUUUUUUGGGGAUAGAAGUGGCACGGUCAUCACGUGGGAUUUUCUUGAGUUAGCGAAAAUAUGCCCUGGAUAUUUUAAAGGAUGCCGGUUUACUUGCUGGACGAGUUUCUCAUUUUCCAAUGGAACAACAACUUCGGCUUUCAUCUACAGAUGGCGACCUUUUAUCAAAUCCCUCAAGUUAUCGACGUCUUGUAGGUCGGUUGGUCUAUCUCACAGUUACCAGGCCUGAUAUUGUCUUUGCAGUACAUGUUUUAAGUCGAUUUAUGCAUGAACCACGAACUACUCAUAUGGAUGCUGCCAUUCGAGUGCUUCGGUAUUUAAAAGGCUCACCAGGCAAGGGUAUCUUAUUAUCUUCAACAAGUGACUUACAUAUCCGGGGUUACUGUGAUGCGGAUUAGGGUAGUUGUCCUACUACACGUCGGUCUGUUACUGGUUAUUGUACUUUCCUUGGUGACAACCCUAUAUCUUGGAAAACAAAGAAGCAAAAUGUGGUCUCUCGAUCUACAGCAGAAGUUGAGUAUCGCUCCUUGGCUGAUCUUUCAUCUGAAUUACAGUGGCUCAAAGCACUUUUUGCUGAUUUGGGGCACCUUCAACAUGAUCCUAUGACUGUUUAUUGUGAUAAUCAAUCAGCUUUAUAUAUCGCCGAGAAUCCUGUCUAUCAUGAGCGAACAAAGCACAUUGAGUUAGAUUGUCAUUUCGUGCGAGAGCGUGUGCAAUCCAAUUUGUUAUUACCACUGCAUAUUCCUACUUCCAUGCAAGUAGCUGAUGUGUUUACAAAACCUCUCGGACAUGCUCUUUUCCAUCAUCAUAUACGCAAGUUGGGUGUUGUUGAUCUCCACGCUCCACCUUGAGGGGGAGUAUUAACGUAUAGAAUUCGUAUAGCAUUCGGUUUUGUAUAUAGAAGUCGUAUAGAAUUCAGUUUCAUAUUUAAAGUAAUUAGAUUUGUAUAUCUAUUAUGAAUCUGUAAUGCUUUUCUACUUAGGAUUCUAUUCUUUAGGGUUGUACAUCUAUAUAUAUAUAUGUAGCAACGUUAAUGCAAGUAAUAACAAGAGUUUUAUUCAUAAACUCCGUUCUUUAUUUUACAAUAAUGUUUUGAAAUAACCAAAAAAAAAAGUCUUUUAAAGUCUAGUAAGCUAUUUUUUCACACCCAAUUUAAAUCUUAUUUUCAAUAUGAUUAAGUUGGUUGAGAAAUUCAGUGUAUUCGGCUUUGUUAGAAGGAUAUUUUUCCUGAAAGCAGCUUGUUUAAUUCUUUGUUGCUUCUCUAUGUAAUGCUGCAUCAAUAAUCGUUGUCAUAGCUGAACAGAUAAUCGAUAAUGGAUCAAGAACUACUCGAGGUACUGAGACAUGGGGAUGAAUAUAAAAUCAAGCAACUCGCACUUCGUCAGGAUAUUUUCAGUACCACAAGUCCCGGAGGAAAUGCAGUCCUGCAUAUGGCUGUCAGAUUCAGAAACCAACAAGUGAUACGGGAGAUUCUGAGGCAACAAGAUUUUAUUGCCUUGAGACUCCAUUACUCACUUCUCCGUCAGAAAAACUUGAUAGAUGAGACUCCGCUGCAUAUUGCUGCCAGGAUUGGUGACCGAGCUAUCGUCAGUGAAAUCAUGAAAUAUGUGCCUGCGGUAAAUCAAGUGGGUCCGGCUCCGGUACUUGAAAGCCUUUUUCGGAUGACAGAUAUCAAAGGUAACACACCUCUGCAUAACGCUGUAACAAACCAACACAAGUGUGUGAUUCGGAUUCUGGUUGAAAAGGAUAGUGUUCCAAGUUGCUAUAUUAAUAAAGCUUACCGGACCCCACUCUCAAUCGCCAUUGAUGCAAGGUUAAAUGAUAUUGCUUGUUUCAUCAUCGAUAAAAGUCCAGAGUCUCUUAACACCACUAGAUUGCCAGAUGAACUGACACUUCUCCAUUUUGUUGUCAUGAGGCAAAACUAUGGUGAGCCGGCCCGUGAUUAAUUAAUUUUUUCAUUUCUUUAAACAAAUGCCUUCAGUAUAUAUAGUUUGAGAUUUUUCUGAAAGCAUGCAAUUCCUGCAAUUUAUAGAUAUCAUGGUCAAGAUACUGGGAACAAACAAAGAACUCAUUGAUCGGUUAGACUGACACCAGAGGAAUCCUCUUCAUUAUGCAGCUGCCUUGGGUAAUGUUACAAUGGCACAACGCUUGUUAGAAGCAAGCAAACAACUUGCAUAUAAACAGGACUGUUACGGUGAGACGCCACUUCACUUGGCCGCAGAGAAUGGCAAACUAAAGGUUUUGAAACUGCUUAUCAACAAAUACCCAGAUGCUAUUGAGAUCCGCAACAACAAUGAUCGCAGCAUCCUCCAUGUUGCUGCUAAACAUGGAAAUUGGAAUAUCGUGUCAUUCAUUCUCAGGUCCCCUGAAAUGGAGAAUUUGAUUAACUUAGUUGAUAGAAAUGGAAAUACGCCGUUGCAUCUGGCUUCAACGGGCUUCCAUAGUGAUGUGGUUUUCAC
RNAcentral lists this long non-coding RNA (36625 nucleotides) under Citrus maxima (pomelo). RNAcentral's name for it is "long non-coding RNA (CMAX_LNC001873)". The record is from RNAcentral. Lineage: Eukaryota; Viridiplantae; Streptophyta; Magnoliopsida; Sapindales; Rutaceae.